CACCGCGGUUAUACGAGCGACCCAAGUUGAUGAAAAACGGCGUAAAGCGUGUUUAAGAAAAUUAAAAUAAAUAGAGCCGAAGAACCUCAAGUCAGUUAUACGCCCUCGAGACCCCGAAGCACAACUACGAAAGUGGCUCUACCUAAUUUCUGAUUCCACGAAAGCCGUAGAA
RNAcentral lists this ribosomal RNA (172 nucleotides) under Trachyrincus murrayi (roughnose grenadier). RNAcentral describes it as "partial 12S ribosomal RNA". The record is from RNAcentral. Lineage: Eukaryota; Metazoa; Chordata; Actinopteri; Gadiformes; Macrouridae.